This 38-nucleotide ribosomal RNA is filed under the name Cuscuta obtusiflora var. glandulosa. Its description in RNAcentral is "partial 26S ribosomal RNA". The record is from RNAcentral. Lineage: Eukaryota; Viridiplantae; Streptophyta; Magnoliopsida; Solanales; Convolvulaceae.
UGCGACCCCAAGUCAGGCGAGACUACCCGCUGAGUUUA